GGCGGCAUAGCUCAGACGGAAGAGCGCAUCUCUCAUACGGAUGAUGUCGGUGGUUCAAGUCCACCUGCCGCCACCA
Molecule: transfer RNA, 76 nt
Filed under: Vibrio coralliirubri
Lineage: Bacteria; Pseudomonadati; Pseudomonadota; Gammaproteobacteria; Vibrionales; Vibrionaceae
Description: tRNA-Met
Rfam family: tRNA
About the family: Transfer RNA (tRNA) molecules are approximately 80 nucleotides in length. Their secondary structure includes four short double-helical elements and three loops (D, anti-codon, and T loops).
Source: RNAcentral